This 467-nucleotide ribosomal RNA is filed under the name uncultured bacterium. RNAcentral's name for it is "bacterial SSU rRNA". It matches the Rfam family "Bacterial small subunit ribosomal RNA", at positions 328 to 792 of the family's 1533-position model. The record is from RNAcentral.
UGACCAGACUCCUACGGGAGGCAGCAGUGAGGAAUAUUGGUCAAUGGGCUUACGCCUGAACCAGCCAAGUCGCGUGGGGGAAGACUGCCCUAUGGGUUGUAAACCUCUUUUGUCAGGGAGCAACGCCGGCUACGUGUAGCCGGACUGAGAGUACCUGAAGAAAAAGCAUCGGCUAACUCCGUGCCAGCAGCCGCGGUAAUACGGAGGAUGCGAGCGUUAUCCGGAUUUAUUGGGUUUAAAGGGUGCGUAGGCGGACAGUCAAGUCAGCGGUAAAAAUGCGGUGCUCAACGCCGUACAGCCGUUGAAACUGGCGGGCUGGAGUUGGAGAGAAGUACGCGGAAUGCGCGGUGUAGCGGUGAAAUGCUUAGAUAUCGCGCAGAACCCCGAUUGCGAAGGCAGCGUACCGGCUCCACACUGACGCUGAGGCACGAAAGCGUGGGUAUCGAACAGGAUUAGAUACCCCAGUA